Molecule: small nuclear RNA, 317 nt
Filed under: Bos mutus (wild yak)
Lineage: Eukaryota; Metazoa; Chordata; Mammalia; Artiodactyla; Bovidae
Description: 7SK RNA (ENSBMUG00000022915.1)
Rfam family: 7SK RNA
About the family: 7SK was discovered as an abundant small nuclear RNA in the mid-70s but a possible function has only recently been suggested.
Source: Rfam by way of RNAcentral
GGGAGCUCUGGCUGCGACAUAAGUCAGCCCACUGAUUGCCAAGUUUGGUUUGACAUAACUGGCAAGGCAGGGGUCUUCACAACUCCAUGUGCAUCCUCCCUGUACCUGUGCACAGGUACAGUAGGUGUACCUGUACCACCUACUCGGUGGAAAAGGACAACCUUCCUGAUAUAGGAGGAUGAUCACAUGGUCAAAUGCACACCAGGAGCUGUACUCCCUUGUUAGAACCUCCAAACAAGAUCUCCAAUAAGAACAACCUCAUAAGCAUUUCCAGACUAUAUACAUGCAUAAAGCACAUAAAAUAACACCUGACCUAU